GAUGAGCGCUGGCGGCGUGCCUAAUACAUGCAAGUCGAGCGAACAGAUGAGGAGCUUGCUCCUCUGACGUUAGCGGCGGACGGGUGAGUAACACGUGGAUAACCUACCUAUAAGACUGGGAUAACUUCGGGAAACCGGAGCUAAUACCGGAUAAUAUAUUGAACCGCAUGGUUCAAUAGUGAAAGACGGUUUUGCUGUCACUUAUAGAUGGAUCCGCGCCGCAUUAGCUAGUUGGUAAGGUAACGGCUUACCAAGGCAACGAUGCGUAGCCGACCUGAGAGGGUGAUCGGCCACACUGGAACUGAGACACGGUCCAGACUCCUACGGGAGGCAGCAGUAGGGAAUCUUCCGCAAUGGGCGAAAGCCUGACGGAGCAACGCCGCGUGAGCGAUGAAGGUCUUCGGAUCGUAAAACUCUGUUAUUAGGGAAGAACAAAUGUGUAAGUAACUAUGCACGUCUUGACGGUACCUAAUCAGAAAGCCACGGCUAACUACGUG
Molecule: ribosomal RNA, 497 nt
Filed under: uncultured bacterium
Lineage: Bacteria
Description: partial 16S ribosomal RNA
Rfam family: Bacterial small subunit ribosomal RNA
Source: RNAcentral